GGAUGCAGGGAAAAUGGGAUACAUGGGAAAACGGGAUACAAGAGAGAUGGGAUGCAGGGAAAAUGGGAUGCAAAUGAGAUGGGAAACAGGAAAAACAGGAUACAGGGAAAUGGGAAUAUGGGAAAAUGGGAUGGAAGUGAGAUGGGAAUAUGGGAAAAGGGGAUACAAGUGGGAAUGGGAAGCAGGGAAAAUGGGAUCCAGGGGGAGGUGGGAAAUUGGGAAAAUGGGAAGCAGAAGAGAUGGGAUUCAGGGAAAAUGGGAUGCAGGGGGAGGUGGGAAGCAGGGAAAGUGGGAUGGAGGGAAAGUGGGGAGCUGGAGGAGAUGGGAUCCAGGGAAAAAUGGGAAUAUGGGAAAAUGGGAUGCAAGUGAGAUGGGAAAGAGGGAAAAUGGGAUACAAGUGGGAAUGGGAUGCAGGGAAAAUGGGAUCCAGGGGGAGGUGGGGAAUUGGGAAAAUGGGAAGCACAGGAGAUGGGAUUCAGGGAAAAUGGGAUGCAGGUGGAAAUGAGAAAAUGGGAGAGAUGGGAGCAGGGAAAAUGGGAUGAAAGAGGCGAUUGGAAAUAUGGAAAAAUAGGAUGCAGGGGGAGGUGGGAAGCAGGGAAAGUGGGGUGGAGGGAAAAGUGGGGAGCUGGAGGAGAUGGGAUCCAGGGAAAAAUGGGAAUAUGGGAAAAUGGGAUACAAGUGGGAAUGGGAUGGGAUUGGAGAUCCAUGGAUCCCAUCCCAAACCAUUCCGGGAUUCUGGGAUCCAGGACACUCAGGAUCCAUCCCGAGGGAUUUUUAUGGAAUUCGGGGAUGGAAAAGGGAAGGGAGACCCUUCCUGGAAUCCCGAAUUCCCAGUGAAGCCCCUGGAUCCCAAAAUUCCUUCUCAAGGAGGAGCUGAGUGCUGGAUCCUGGUUCUGGUCCUGGUUUUGGUUCCAAUACCGGUGCUGGGUCCUGGUUCUGGUCCUGAUACCGGUGGCGGGUGCUGGGUCCCGGUUCUUGGUCCUGGUUCUGGUCCCGGUUCUGGUCCCGGUUCUGGUCCCAACACCGGUUUUGGGUUCUGGGUGCCGGUACCAGCUUCAACGCGGGUGUUUGGGACCCGGUGCCGGUUCCGGGUGUCACUCCUGGUUCUGGGUCCUUGUCCCAGUGUCGUUGUUGGCUGCUGGUUCCGGUUCUGGUGCCAUUGUUGGGUGCUGGGUGCUGAUACCGGUGCCGGUUCUGGUCCUGGUGCUGGGUGCUGACUGGUGGGUGCUG
RNAcentral lists this long non-coding RNA (1230 nucleotides) under Taeniopygia guttata (zebra finch). RNAcentral's name for it is "lncRNA (ENSTGUG00000022609.1)". Lineage: Eukaryota; Metazoa; Chordata; Aves; Passeriformes; Estrildidae. The record is from RNAcentral.